AUGAACGCUGGCGGCGUGGAUAAGGCAUGCAAGUCGAACGCAUCGCAAGAUGAGUGGCGAACGAGGUAGUAAUACGUAGGAACUUCCCCUUGAGUCAAGAAUAACUAGUCGAAAGAUUAGCUAAUACUUGAUAGUCUCUUCGGAGUAAAGAUUUAUCGCUUAAGGAAAGGCCUGCGGGAUAUCAGCUAGUUGGUAGUGUAAAGGACUACCAAGGCUAUGACGUCUAGGGGAGCUGAGAGGCUGACCCCCACCGAUGGUACUGAGACACGGACCAUACACCUACGGGUGGCUGCAGUCGAGAAUCUUCCGCAAUGGGCGCAAGCCUGACGGAGCGACGCCGCGUGAUUGAUGAAGUCCCUCUGGGACGUAAAGAUCUUUUAUCGGGGAGAAAGUUUAUUGAUAGUACCUGAUGAAUAAGGGGUUGCUAAACUCGU
Molecule: ribosomal RNA, 434 nt
Filed under: uncultured bacterium
Lineage: Bacteria
Description: bacterial SSU rRNA
Rfam family: Bacterial small subunit ribosomal RNA
Source: RNAcentral